CCUACGGGAGGCUGCAGUGGGGAAUAUUGCACAAUGGGCGAAAGCCUGAUGCAGCGACGCCGCGUGAGGGACGACGGCCUUCGGGUUGUAAACCUCUUUCAGCAGGGACGAAGCGAAAGUGACUGUACCUGCAGAAGAAGCACCGGCUAACUACGUGCCAGCAGCCGCGGUAAUACGUAGGGUGCAAGCGUUGUCCGGAUUUAUUGGGCGUAAAGAGCUCGUAGGCGGUUUGUCGCGUCGGAUGUGAAAACCUAUGGCUUAACCAUGGGCCUGCAUUCGAUACGGGCAAACUAGAGUUCGGUAGGGGAGACUGGAACUCCUGGUGUAGCGGUGAAAUGCGCAGAUAUCAGGAAGAACACCGGUGGCGAAGGCGGGUCUCUGGGCCGAUACUGACGCUGAGGAGCGAAAGCGUGGGGAGCAAACAGGCUUAGAUACCCCUGUAGUC
This 445-nucleotide ribosomal RNA is filed under the name uncultured Actinomycetales bacterium. Its description in RNAcentral is "bacterial SSU rRNA". It matches the Rfam family "Bacterial small subunit ribosomal RNA", at positions 338 to 795 of the family's 1533-position model. Lineage: Bacteria; Bacillati; Actinomycetota; Actinomycetes; Actinomycetales. The record is from RNAcentral.